CAGGAUGAACGCUGGCGGCAGGCUUAAUACAUGCAAGUCGAACGGUAAGGCCGAGCGUAGCAAUACGUGAGGUACACGAGUGGCGCACGGGUGCGUAACGCGUAUGCAACCUGCCCCCAACCGGGACAAAAACAGCUGGAAACGGCUGCUAAUAUCCCAUAGCCACCUGGGAGGGCAUCCUCCUGGGUGUAAAGAUUCAUUGGUUGGGGAUGGGCAUGCGUAUUAUUAGGUAGUUGGCGGGGUAACGGCCCACCAAGCCGACGAUGAUUAGGGGUCCUGAGAGGGUUAACCCCCACACUGGAACUGAGACACGGUCCAGACUCCUACGGGAGGCAGCAGUAGGGAAUAUUGAGCAAUGGGAGGAAUCCUGACCCAGCCAUGCCGCGUGAAGGAAGACGGCCCUAUGGGUUGUAAACUUCUUUUGCCGCAGAGUAAACCCGGUCACGUGUGGCCGGUUGAGAGUAUGCGGCGAAUAAGUAUCGGCUAACUCCGUGCCAGCAGCAGC
Molecule: ribosomal RNA, 505 nt
Filed under: uncultured bacterium
Lineage: Bacteria
Description: bacterial SSU rRNA
Rfam family: Bacterial small subunit ribosomal RNA
Source: RNAcentral